CCUACGGGAGGCAGCAGUAGGGAAUAUUGCUCAAUGGGGGAAACCCUGAAGCAGCAACGCCGCGUGGAGGAUGAAGGUUUUCGGAUUGUAAACUCCUUUUGUUAGAGAAGAUAAUGACGGUAUCUAACGAAUAAGCACCGGCUAACUCCGUGCCAGCAGCCGCGGUAAUACGGAGGGUGCAAGCGUUACUCGGAAUCACUGGGCGUAAAGAGCGCGUAGGCGGGAUGGCAAGUCAGAUGUGAAAUCCUAUGGCUUAACCAUAGAACUGCAUUGGAAACUGUUAUUCUAGAGUAUGGGAGAGUUAGGUGGAAUUCUUGGUGUAGGGGUAAAUCCGUAGAGAUCAAGAGGAAUACUCAUUGCGAAGGCGACCUGCUAGAACAUAACUGACGCUGAUGCGCGAAAGCGUGGGGAGCGAACAGGAUUAGAUACCCCAGUAGUC
RNAcentral lists this ribosomal RNA (439 nucleotides) under uncultured bacterium. RNAcentral describes it as "partial 16S ribosomal RNA". It matches the Rfam family "Bacterial small subunit ribosomal RNA", at positions 338 to 795 of the family's 1533-position model. The record is from RNAcentral.